Haliotis rubra (blacklip abalone) is the source of this 990-nucleotide long non-coding RNA. RefSeq lists it as uncharacterized. The record is from RefSeq and is a predicted model, not a curated record. The transcript is spliced from 2 exons. NCBI's taxonomy places the organism in Eukaryota, Metazoa, Mollusca, Gastropoda, Lepetellida, Haliotidae.
GAAACAAAACAACCACUAAACUUUAUCCGCAAUAACAUGUCGAAACAUUUCGUGGUAUUGUAUUCGAGAGACCGUCUUAAACAUUUGUCCUAUUUAAUGGUGAAUGGCGAGGAUAGGUUUUACAAUCAGGGUGCUACUUGCAAACUGGCACCUGAACAUGAAGGUUCGAUACGAGAGUACAUGUAUUGUAUAUAAGCGUAUAUAGCAUAGCAAACACUCGUCUAUACAAGGAUUGGCUCUCGUAAUGCACCAGGUUCAUCACUGUUUGUCACAUCAAUCAUCGGAUUCUGAUGACAGACCAAUGUUAAGCAUUGGGUACAGACAGAAUAUUAGAUGUUUGUAACUUUGGUGGCGAAUCUGCGAAUUCAGGUAACUGUGGCAACCAUUGACUUCAAUAUCCAAGGAAACAUGGAGUAGAUUCGGACACCUGAAGUGUACCUGUAGAUGUGAUGUUUAGCGUUUUUUUCUUGCUUUAGUGUUGUUUGCCAUUGUUUACGGUACCUGCAAAAGUGUUGUGUAUCGUUGUUUACGUUACCUGUAAAGGUGUUGUAUCGCGUUGUUUACGUUUCAUGUAACAGUGUCUUGUAUCGUUGUUUACGCUACCUAUAAAAGUGUUGUGUCGCGUUGUGUACGUUACCUGUAACAGUGUUGUGUACCGUCGUUUACCGUAUCUGUAAUAGUGUUAUGUACCAUUGUUUACGUUACCUGUAAAGGUGUUGUGUAUCGUUGUUUACGCUACCUGUAACAUUGUUGUAUCGCGUUGUUUACGUUACAUGUAACAGUGUUGUGUCGCGUUGUGUACGUUACCUGUAACAGUGUUUUGUACCGUUGUUUGCGUUACCUGUAAAGGUGUAGGGUAGCGUUGUUUACGUUACCUGUAAAGGUGUAGUGUAGCGUUGUUUACGUUACCUGUAAAGGUGUAGUGUAGCGUUGUUUACGUUACCCGUAAAGGUGUAGUGUAGCGUUGUUUACGUUACCUGUAAAAGCGUU